Scylla paramamosain (green mud crab) is the source of this 580-nucleotide long non-coding RNA. RefSeq lists it as uncharacterized. The transcript has 4 exons. NCBI's taxonomy places the organism in Eukaryota, Metazoa, Arthropoda, Malacostraca, Decapoda, Portunidae. The record is from RefSeq and is a predicted model, not a curated record.
UCGAUCCCACAACACCACCCCAGUGGCCAGCACGUGUCCGGUUUGUGAGGGUUGUGCUCUUCCAGCGUGCAGCGUUGUGUACGUAACGUGACUUUCCUCUUCAUUCAGCGACCUCUUUGUAGCAAGAGGGAUGGACUUCCGCAAGCUGCUACAUCCUGAUUAUUUUGGGUUCAUCUGUAUGUAGACACAUCUUGAGGAUCCAAUGCAGUGUUAUUCACAUGAAAUCAUGACCUUGAUGGCUCCUCCAGAACCAGUGGCAGCAGUCUCGAAUGCCUUGAUGGACUCCUCCAGCUUGAAGCGGUGUGUGAUAAGAGGUUUCACAUUAAUCUUCCCUGAUGCAAUCAUGUCCAAAGCAAGUGGAUAGCUGGAAAAGAAAAGGGAACCAAUGUUUGAGAUGAAGUCAGUAAGGUGGAGACAUGUGAUCCAUUGUAAUGGAAGAUGGAAUUUAUUAAAAUGAUAUCUUGUGGGAAAAGAAAUAUGUUGUCUGGUGGCUGUCAGCAAAGCUGUCACCCAUGUGAUGAUCACAUCUCUUUAAAUUGUUUAAAGCAAGUAAAUAAUAAUGAGUAUUUCAUUAUUCUGA